RNAcentral lists this ribosomal RNA (253 nucleotides) under uncultured bacterium. RNAcentral's name for it is "partial 16S ribosomal RNA". It matches the Rfam family "Bacterial small subunit ribosomal RNA", at positions 524 to 776 of the family's 1533-position model. The record is from RNAcentral.
CACGUAGGGCGCAAGCGUUGUCCGGAAUUAUUGGGCGUAAAGAGCUCGUAGGCGGUCUGUUGCGUCCGCUGUGAAAACUCGGGGCUUAACCCCGAGCCUGCAGUGGAUACGGGCAGACUAGAGGUAGGUAGGGGAGAAUGGAAUUCCCUGUGUAGCGGUGAAAUGCGCAGAUAUCGGGAGGAACACCGGUGGCGAAGGCGGUUCUCUGGGCCGAUACUGACGCUGAGGAGCGAAAGCGUGGGGAGCGAACAGG